UACACACCGCCCGUCACACCAGUGGGAGGUUGGGUUUCACCAAGAACGGUAGGUAGUUACCUAACCGACGAAGGAGGACGCUUACCACGGUGAGAUUCAUGACUGGGGUG
RNAcentral lists this ribosomal RNA (110 nucleotides) under uncultured bacterium. Its description in RNAcentral is "partial 16S ribosomal RNA". The record is from RNAcentral.